AUGGAAGCUUGCUUCUAUCAAUCUUAGUGGCGAACGGGUGAGUAACGCGUAAUCAACCUGCCCUUCAGAGGGGGACAACAGUUGGAAACGACUGCUAAUACCGCAUACGAUCUAAUCUCGGCAUCGAGGAUGGAUGAAAGGUGGCCUCUAUUUAUAAGCUAUCACUGAAGGAGGGGAUUGCGUCUGAUUAGCUAGUUGGAGGGGUAACGGCCCACCAAGGCGAUGAUCAGUAGCCGGUCUGAGAGGAUGAACGGCCACACUGGGACUGAGAGGUUAAGGAGGGCUUCCCAUAGGAAGUGGCAACCAAUCGGCUAGCGGCUGUGAUUAAUUACUCUUUAGGUUCUUAGCUCUAAGCAAAGUGCCUUGGUGUUCAAUGAAUGAAUGAAGGAGUGGAUGCCUGUAAAAGUGUCUUACAAACUGGAGUGUGCAGUGCAAAUGGUAAGCGCUGGUAUUAUGGAUUGUGGAGGGUAGAGCAGGGGCACCGUAAACAGGGUUCAUUUCCCGAGUUUACCCG
Molecule: ribosomal RNA, 514 nt
Filed under: uncultured bacterium
Lineage: Bacteria
Description: bacterial SSU rRNA
Rfam family: Bacterial small subunit ribosomal RNA (bases 1-302)
Source: RNAcentral